CCUUGCCUACGGGAGGCAGCAGUAGGGAAUUUUCGUCAAUGGGCGCAAGCCUGAACGAGCAAUGCCGCGUGAACGAGGAAGGUCUUCGGAUCGUAAAGUUCUGUUGAAGGGGAAAAAGAGCGGAGAGAGGAAAUGGUCUCCGAUUGAUAUUACCCUUCGAGGAAGUCACGGCUAACUACGUGCCAGCAGCCGCGGUAAUACGUAGGUGGCGAGCGUUAUCCGGAAUGAUUGGGCGUAAAGGGAGCGUAGACGGCAGG
RNAcentral lists this ribosomal RNA (257 nucleotides) under uncultured bacterium. Its description in RNAcentral is "partial 16S ribosomal RNA". It matches the Rfam family "Bacterial small subunit ribosomal RNA", at positions 333 to 582 of the family's 1533-position model. The record is from RNAcentral.